Molecule: long non-coding RNA, 1017 nt
Organism: Cavia porcellus (domestic guinea pig)
Lineage: Eukaryota; Metazoa; Chordata; Mammalia; Rodentia; Caviidae
Exons: 2
Source: RefSeq, a predicted model, not a curated record
UCCAUGUUCCAACCCUCCAGCAAAGCCACUGCCGGACUCCCCGUGCCAAGUUUUCUAAGGUCUAACUUUCCAGGGAGGUGACUGCAAGACCAGCAGCGUCUCCCAAGUACAGUGGAAACUAACGGAGAAGUUGGCUUAUUUACCCCUUUUACAUAACUCAAAAUAUCCUUCUAGCUACGUAAAAGGGGGAAAAAUGAAAGCCAGCCUGGGCUCCAAGCUCUGUUACUAUUUCAGUGGAGAGAAAGGCAGGGAGGCUACCGUUCAGCCGGUUUAGCAGAAAUCCUGGAAGUCUGUCGAUCAACCAGAGGAUAUUUUCUUGUCCUGGCUUGUUUUGGAGCUGGUACAAGAGCUGAUAGUCUUAACCCUGUUUAAUUUAUGUAGCUCCAGAAAGAAAAGUUGUCAGGGCCUAUAAAAUGAAGAAAAAGAAAAGCCAAGGAGACCAGGGACAUGUCCAAACCUCCUCCAGCGGCAGUGUCACCCUGCUCAUCAGGGUAUAGGACUCCACGCCACCGACAACAACAGAAAAAAACAUCUGCUCUUGGCAGCGUCCUGGCUGGGAUAAUGGCCCGCCGAGCGCAGCAGCGCUGCAGCCCCAGCGCCUGCCAGCGUCUACCGCGGCUGUGCACAAGUUAGUUUGAUCGUGGUCAGCAUUUGCAGGACCCUGUAACGCCAUCUAAUCAAGUCCAAGUCUCAAAGAAAGACUUUGUUAAAAUCACCCCAGGCCUGUGUAUUCUUUUCUUUAAAGAAUUACAAUGCAAAGUUACUGCUUUAUAAAACGUGGAGCCAGGAAUUUAUCCUGAAGUUGAAUGUCACCAGUUUAUGUAUGUUUGCUCUCACAUUUGAAGACUUUCUCUGUAGCCUUCUGUUCUGUUUAGAAAAGCGGAUUCUUUUUUUCUGCUCCUUUUCAAGCACUGUUUAAUCAUUGUUUAUGAUUUUGAUAGUUUUCUCUGAGUUCUUUACAACUUAAUUAUCAUAUCUAUCACUACAAUGAAUAAAACGAUUUACUCACUCCUCCAA